AGCUGAGUUUGAUCCUGGCUCAGGAUGAACGCUAGCGGCAGGCCUAAUACAUGCAAGUCGAGCGGCAAGUUGAGAAGCAAUUCGAGACCUAGAGCGGCGUACGGGUGCGUAACGCGUAUGCAACCUACCUCAUACAGGGGGAUAGCCCGGAGAAAUCUGGAUUAAUACCCCAUGGUACAGCACGAGGGCAUCUGAGUGUUGUUAAAGAUUCAUCGGUAUGAGAUGGGCAUGCGUCUGAUUAGCUAGUUGGCGGUGUAACGGACCACCAAGGCGACGAUCAGUAGGGGUUCUGAGAGGAAGGUCCCCACACUGACACUGAGAUACGGGCCAGACUCCGUACGGGAGCAGCAGUGGGGGAAUAUUGCGCAAUGGACGAAAGUCUGACGCAGCGACGCCUCGUGAGGG
Molecule: ribosomal RNA, 405 nt
Filed under: uncultured Algoriphagus sp.
Lineage: Bacteria; Pseudomonadati; Bacteroidota; Cytophagia; Cytophagales; Cyclobacteriaceae
Description: bacterial SSU rRNA
Rfam family: Bacterial small subunit ribosomal RNA
Source: RNAcentral